CCCUAGUAACUGCGAGUGAAGCGGGAAAAGCUCAAAUUUAAAAUCUGGCGGUCUUUGGCUGUCCGAGUUGUAAUCUAGAGAAGUGUUAUCCGCGCUGGACCGUGUACAAGUCUCCUGGAAUGGAGCGUCAUAGAGGGUGAGAAUCCCGUCUUUGACACGGACUGCCAGGGCUUUGUGAUGCGCUCUCAAAGAGUCGAGUUGUUUGGGAAUGCAGCUCAAAAUGGGUGGUAAAUUCCAUCUAAAGCUAAAUAUUGGCGAGAGACCGAUAGCGAACAAGUACCGUGAGGGAAAGAUGAAAAGAACUUUGGAAAGAGAGUUAAAUAGUACGUGAAAUUGCUGAAAGGGAAACGCUUGAAGUCAGUCGCGUUGGCCGGAACUCAACCUUGCUUUUGCUGGGCGUACUUUCCGGUUGACGGGUCAGCAUCAAUUUUGACCGUUGGAUAAAGGUUAGGGGAAUGUGGCAUCUUCGGAUGUGUUAUAGCCCUUGGUCGCAUACAACGGUUGGGAUUGAGGAACUCAGCACGCCGCAAGGCCGGGUAUUUUACCACGUUCGUGCUUAGGAUGCUGGCAUAAUGGCUUUAAUCGACCCGUCUUGAAACACGGACCAAGGAGUCUAACAUGCCUGCGAGUGUUUGGGUGGAAAACCCGAGCGCGUAAUGAAAGUGAAAGUUGAGAUCCCUGUCGUGGGGAGCAUCGACGCCCGGACCAGACCUUUUGUGACGGAUCCGCGGUAGAGCAUGUAUGUUGGGACCCGAAAGAUGGUGAACUAUGCCUGAAUAGGGUGAAGCCAGAGGAAACUCUGGUGGAGGCUCGUAGCGAUUCUGACGUGCAAAUCGAUCGUCAAAUUUGGGUAUAGGGGCGAAAGACUAAUCGAACCAUCUAGUAGCUGG
This 890-nucleotide ribosomal RNA is filed under the name Galerina triscopa. RNAcentral's name for it is "partial large subunit ribosomal RNA". It matches the Rfam family "Eukaryotic large subunit ribosomal RNA", at positions 78 to 954 of the family's 3401-position model. The record is from RNAcentral. Lineage: Eukaryota; Fungi; Basidiomycota; Agaricomycetes; Agaricales; Galerinaceae.